UACGAAGGGGACUAGCGUUGUUCGGAAUUACUGGGCGUAAAGCGCACGUAGGCGGAUUUGUAAGUCAGGGGUGAAAUCCCGGGGCUCAACCUCGGAACUGCCUUUGAUACUGCAAAUCUCGAGUCCGAUAGAGGUGGGUGGAAUUCCUAGUGUAGAGGUGAAAUUCGUAGAUAUUAGGAAGAACACCGGUGGCGAAGGCGGCCCACUGGAGCGGUACUGACGCUGAGGUGCGAAAGCGUGGGGAGCAAACAGG
Molecule: ribosomal RNA, 253 nt
Filed under: uncultured bacterium
Lineage: Bacteria
Description: partial 16S ribosomal RNA
Rfam family: Bacterial small subunit ribosomal RNA
Source: RNAcentral